GCCAGCAGCAUACCACCCUGCAUCCCACUGCUGGCUUGCCUCCGAAGCUAAACAGGUGUGGUCCUGGAUGGGAGACCAGAUGCUGCUGGAA
Molecule: ribosomal RNA, 91 nt
Filed under: Hucho hucho (huchen)
Lineage: Eukaryota; Metazoa; Chordata; Actinopteri; Salmoniformes; Salmonidae
Source: RNAcentral